GGAUCCAUAGCUCAGUUGGCUAGAGCGUCACAUUGACAUUGUGAAGGCCAGAGGUUCGAGUCCUCUUGGAUCCACCA
RNAcentral lists this transfer RNA (77 nucleotides) under Candidatus Levyibacteriota bacterium. Its description in RNAcentral is "tRNA-Val". It matches the Rfam family "tRNA". From Rfam's summary of the family: Transfer RNA (tRNA) molecules are approximately 80 nucleotides in length. Their secondary structure includes four short double-helical elements and three loops (D, anti-codon, and T loops). The record is from RNAcentral. Lineage: Bacteria; Candidatus Levyibacteriota.